RNAcentral lists this non-coding RNA (245 nucleotides) under Lachnospiraceae bacterium. Its description in RNAcentral is "T-box sequence". It matches the Rfam family "T-box leader". From Rfam's summary of the family: Uncharged tRNA acts as the effector for transcription antitermination of genes in the T-box leader family. Lineage: Bacteria; Bacillati; Bacillota; Clostridia; Lachnospirales; Lachnospiraceae. The record is from RNAcentral.
UUAAAACCGUUGAGAAAGAAGAGUAGAUUAUCGAAUGACAUCAAAGAGAGCGGCUGAUGGUGGGAUUGCCGUAUGGAGUUGAUGAUUGAAUGGCCUUUCGAGGGCAGCCGGAAACCGUAAGAGAGUAUGGCUUGUCGGGAACCGAACCCGUUAUCAAUCAGGAGUGUAUGUUAGUACAUGAGAAAAGUGGACGAUUCGUCAAUUUGAGUGGUACCGCGAUAAUGUAGUUUAUUACCGCCUCAAAC